This is a long non-coding RNA of Monopterus albus (swamp eel), 3128 nucleotides long. RefSeq lists it as uncharacterized. The transcript is spliced from 3 exons. Lineage: Eukaryota; Metazoa; Chordata; Actinopteri; Synbranchiformes; Synbranchidae. The record is from RefSeq and is a predicted model, not a curated record.
CAAAACCUCUUUUCCCCUCUUUCUCUUCCCGACUUUAUGUCGCGAAAAAUAAUCCCAGACUGACUAAUUCUGGCAGAUUUUUCUGACUGUGUAGAGCUCCAUCCCGUCCGAAAAGUACUGGCUUUUUUUUUUAUCCUAUCUCUGAGAAUUAUUGGCUUGUAAUAACGUCUAAACGCCAAGAUAACCGCUCCAUUUCCGUCUUCUCGAUUUUUUUCCGAUCAGAUCCAUUUUGGGCUAGAUUGGUAACAAUGUCGUUCCAGGCAGAAAAAAGAACAAUAUUUCUGCAAGAGGCCCAUCCAUCUUAGACAGGCUGUCUCUUUGCAAUCCUCGUUUUUUCCCCUCCGAGAGUACAUCCUAUUUCGCAUGUGAAAGACACCUUGUGUAGUUUAACUUUACAAAAAGACCCACACAUGUUAACUGGCUAAGUGGCUGCUAAAUGUAAGCAGUGACCUAUAGGUUUCGCCCGGACCAUACUGUAAGUUUCAGGCAGUAACUUUGGAGGGAUUGUGUCUAGGUCAGACUAACAGUGCAAGGUUUUGUUUUCAUUCCGGUCAGCAUUUCUCGGGGAAAAAAUGUUGUGUAGAAAGUCAGCUGUGGUAGCCAAGUAGUCGGAGGCAGCAGAUAGGCUGCAGCCUGCCUAUGUCCUCCCUAAACCACAUGUCUGUUCUCUGAAACGCAACUCGGACUCUCGGGCUUUCCGUGCACACGGUCCUGCUGAUCCGCUCUUGUCAUGAAGCAGACCCGGGGCUCCGUUUUUUCUCAACACAACGCAUUCAAACACACCCGCAAACACCAACCCUCCAUGCACGCACACAUACACACAUGUCGAUCGAUUUGCAUGUGACUUCGUCGGGGAAUGAACGAGAAUCGACUUAAAAACUACGCUUCAAAAGAAGCAAACAGCCAUGAAAAAUAAAAAAAGCAAAGAUGGACAAAGUGGGGUAAAAGGAAAAGUGUAGCUAGAGAGGGCGGAGGGAUUGCACGUUUCAGAGACGUGUCGAAGAGGAACAAAAAUGUGUUUAUCCAGAAGAGGAUUUUAUAAGCACACGACGGUGCCAAAACCCCCUGGAUAUGGCAAGUGUCAAAUCUGUCAAAAUUAGAAAGCGAGAGAUGUUCCCUUUUGCCGGACUCACACGGACCCACAGGCUGGACCUAGAGCUCCUUUUCUGGGCUGCGCUCAUAUGGAGCUGCCGCUCCCCUUCGCUCGCUCAAAACAGCCCCCUUUCUUAUCCCAACCAUGCCUUAAAACAUGUUUCUCGACAACCAUAAGCCCUCUAUACCUUCACCAGAUCCACCGAAAUGCACAUAUUUGUUUGAAAAUCGUGCUUUUCUACGAUCAACUGCUUGGAGAGGAUCGCUGUCUUGCCCAUUUCUUAUCUUCCAUUCAUGAGGAGGAGAGGACGAACGCUGAUGUAAACACAGGAGGGGUGGGUUGAGACCAGGAGGUCCGCACCAGUCCACCUACUGACUUUGCCUGCAUCAUGCCUCUACUCUAUCUAUGUUGAGCGUUUCAACUCGGAUUGAAUGCUAUCGCGUCGGCAGUCAGAGGCCUUACACAUCAGGCAUGGGAAGAUGCUUGUGAACGACACCUGUAUCCUUGCUACCUGCACUCUCAGCUCACGCAGCCUGCCUUCCUGCCAAGAUUGCUUUUGUGUUAUGAACUGCAACAUGUGUGCAACAGUUGGCUGACCUCAUUCCUGUGGCAGAAAUACAACCUUUCCCCUAACUGAAGCACAUACCCUACCUUUUGUUUAGCUCAUUUGGUAGUCUGGCUGUCUAUUUGGUGCUAGAGAGGGCCUCCUCUCUUAAAUGUGUUGAGAGGAAGCACAGGCAUUCACAUGCAUGUGACUGACAUCACAUUAGAAAAAAAUUAGAAACUGUGUAAUACCAUUUCUAAUUCUGUCAGCUCUGUCAUUACUGAAUAAUCUAUGAUGCGCAUCCCUACAACCCUGUAGUGUAUCAGCUGAAUCGAAUCCAGUUAAACAAGUUGUUUUUGUAGCUUAUGAGGGCAAAAGAUAUCAACAUGAAAAACUGUCUUUGAAUUUCAAAAGGUCAUACCCUCCCUGUGGUCAAAUGACAGACACUGAUGUGAUAUUCUCUUUCAUCGCUUAGAGAAUAAAAUGUGAGCAUUGGAUCACAGGCACACAUUAAUUCACAUCAUUGCAGCUUGUAAAUGAAUCUGGAAUCAUCUUGAACUUAAAUAACAAUUGUAAUUUGCAGUGAUUGUACACAUCCACUUUUCAGACAUAUUUGGCUGUAAGAGCACCUUGUUCAAUGUCCCACUGUGUCCAGCUUUUAGACAACAGAAGAUCUUUGAAACCGAGUUCACAGUCCCAUUCCCCCAUUCCAAUCCAAUAAUACACAACAGAGUUUUCACAGUGUAAUUACAUUUUGUAUUCUUAGUCUGAAUACAAGGGAACCAUUUUAUAACUAUGCAGCAUGUAUUUGAAAUGCAUUGCACUUCUAUAGGUGGUGAAUUGCUGUUUCAUCUAAGAAUGUAAACCAAACAUAAGGACAACAUUAUCAAAACACUGAAUACAUCUAUAAUGUGUAAUCCUCAUGUUUUGGUUAGUAUUUUCAUGGAUGUAAUGUAUUUUCUGGUUUGUAUUUAUAAAUGAAAAAUGAUUCUAUGGUGUAUAUUCAGCUAUUACAUUAUUUUUUUUUCUUAAUUGUAUUUAACAAGCUAUCUUGACUGCGAGGAGGUACUGUACAUGACAAGCAGAAAUGAGGGCCACAUUUUUAAUUGUAAACCAUCAUAUUUUGAGAUGAGUGAAAAGUAAACUUAAUCUUUUUCCUUCACCCAGAACAGUGAGGCAUUAGCAGUGGUGGCAGCUUCAGACUUAACAUUCUGAGUGUUUGAAUACACAUCCAUUUACAAAUAUAUACUGCUGUAUAUACCAGAAUCCACUGCAUUUCACUUUAAAUUACAACAUAAGUGGCUGAGACAAACACUGAUAAACUGAAAUUGUGAGAUAUAUUGGCUGUGCUUGUGUGUUUUGCACAUUCAAAUGAAAUAUAAGGCAAGUAACAAGAUUGAUAACCUGUGUUGUUUCUAUUUUUUUGAUCUAAUGUUUUUGAAUAUGUGUAAAUACAUUUCCUCAGGAAAAAGGAGGUAGAGAAAGAGGAUA